CUAAGGGAAGCAGUCUUUCCAAUGUGCUCAAUGUCAUUGCCUGUCCAGGAGUGCUCCUAUUGUCAGUAGUUUCAACAAACUCAGAUUGCAUCUCCCCGCUCACCCCGGGCUGUUGCUAUGCUUGCCAGCCUAUGGUCUAAACUACAUCUGCUCCUGCUUCAGCUGGCUGCCUGGUGACUCUGACAGUCUGUCCUUCUUAAACAAGAGGCUUUUAUUAAUAAAAACAGCUAUAACUAAAGGCAAAAAAAGGGCUUUCUUUGGUUACUAGGGAGCACACCCUAUCUGGAACCUUGUACAGCACCACAUAGCUAGUGGCUGAAUAACAUGCUGUGAUUAAACAUAUCACAGUACUGUUGAGCAACAGAUACCUUACCCAGCAAAGCAUCCUUAGUCCCCAGAGGAAUAAGAUGACAUAUGGAAAGUGUUCUUUUAAGCUAGAAGACUGCCUCCCAGAAACGAAUCUGCCCACUCUGACAGCUCGAUUGAGGGUGAUUGAUGACUAUCUGGAGACCACAGUACACAUAAUACAAUAUCUGCUGCGUAAUUGCUUUAAUUUACAGAUGAAAAUACUAGUUCUAGGAUUGGGUUAGACUAUAACAAGCGGUGUCCUACGGCAUCGUAAAUAGUUCCCAAAUAACAAAUAGAUACAGUACAUGCAAAUUAUUCAGACAGUUUAGUGUCUGUAGCCGGGAGAAAUGCGUAAAGAACAGGAGUCAAAUGACAUUAAUAAUUGUUUUUGAAUUCCGUAUUGAUUUCUUGGGAGAGUGUGUUUAUUCCUUUCUCACCUGCAAUGCUAAUAUCACCUUCUUUCUGUGAAUAAUAAUAAACUAGCCAUUGGGGCUUAUGCUACAA
Molecule: long non-coding RNA, 852 nt
Organism: Chrysemys picta bellii (western painted turtle)
Lineage: Eukaryota; Metazoa; Chordata; Testudines; Emydidae
Source: RefSeq, a predicted model, not a curated record